GUCGUCACCUGCCGCGGGAUGAACAUUCGCGCCAUCCUCCCGCUCAGAAAGGCGAAGCCGCGAUUGCGCCUUUGAAUGGUGGCGAUCUUUCGGGCUUGCUCAGUUGCUUGUGUUCUACCAUUGGUUAAUGAUAGUUUAAAGAAGGUGGCUAUCGAAACCCUCAAAACAUACGAUCCUUAUAAUCAACGAUGGAUCGGUGUCGAGCGUAUUGAUGAUUGUUAAGAGGUUAUGGGGACGGCGGAAAGUACUGCAACGAUAUGGCAAUGCUCGAACGGUUGCUGCCAAUUUCUUUGGCUUGCGGUUAUGCUCCUAAUUUCCGGAGAUCGAUGAUGAUUUCUCUGUGCUGGAAAUAAUUGG
Phalaenopsis equestris is the source of this 357-nucleotide long non-coding RNA. RefSeq lists it as uncharacterized. NCBI's taxonomy places the organism in Eukaryota, Viridiplantae, Streptophyta, Magnoliopsida, Asparagales, Orchidaceae. The transcript is spliced from 4 exons. The record is from RefSeq and is a predicted model, not a curated record.